GAAGGGAUAGCUCAGUGGUAGAGUGUGCCUAGCAUGCAUGAGGUCCUGGGUUCAAUCCCUGGUACCUCCA
RNAcentral lists this transfer RNA (70 nucleotides) under Camelus bactrianus (Bactrian camel). It matches the Rfam family "tRNA". From Rfam's summary of the family: Transfer RNA (tRNA) molecules are approximately 80 nucleotides in length. Their secondary structure includes four short double-helical elements and three loops (D, anti-codon, and T loops). RNAcentral also lists the same sequence under 2 other names. Lineage: Eukaryota; Metazoa; Chordata; Mammalia; Artiodactyla; Camelidae. The record is from Rfam by way of RNAcentral.